GCUGCCAUUUUUUUUUGUUUUUAAAUCAAAAAGUUGUAAAAGUCAGCGAGAACGUGGUCGUGUGGUCGUUAGUUGUAGCAGUGGUGGCAAUUUUGAUCUCCAUCUGAUCUUUCUUUAUUAAAAAGUUAACAUCCAAAGCGAGAAAAUUCUAGUAACGAGGUGCAACAUGAGUGCACGAAAUAUCUUCGUUGGUUUUCCCGACGGCGACGUUCCCAAAUCACAUACACCCCAAAAAGGACGUGCCCAUAUAGACAUAUUUUCAUCUGUGCCACCGACCAUUACGCCGAAAAAAGUGAAUGCUUCCAAGUCCAGUAUUCAAGAUAUUUUAACGCAAGAAACUGAUAAAGUGGAAACCAAUGGUAAUCCGCAGCCAAAAGAGGAUAAGACUGAGAAUAAUAAUACAACGGCGAAAGCUACAUUUCCAACCCGAGUUCGUAUGCCUCCAGGUGGACAUUCGUGUGGUGGAUUUUGGUGAUUUUUAAUGAUCUACGGGCCUUACUUUGUAAGUACAAAUUCGCUAAGUAUCAGUUUCUUAAAUAAAGCAGCAGCACCAUUAGUUUACACUUGUUAUGAGUUUCUUUCCUUUAAAGUUUAAAGAAAAAAACUGCAGCCAAUCCGCAGCAUUGUGCUUCAAAACGCGAAUUUGUACUUACUUACAAAAAUAUGACAUUUAGACAUAUGGCCCGUGGGAUUAUUAUAAAAUCAAUUUUUCAAAAAAAAAAUUAUUUGUAAUUUUUUAUAAAUAAAAGUCAUUUUUGCUUAA
Tribolium madens (black flour beetle) is the source of this 763-nucleotide long non-coding RNA. RefSeq lists it as uncharacterized. The record is from RefSeq and is a predicted model, not a curated record. The transcript is spliced from 2 exons. Lineage: Eukaryota; Metazoa; Arthropoda; Insecta; Coleoptera; Tenebrionidae.